AGCGAACGCUGGCGGCAGGCUUAACACAUGCAAGUCGAGCGGGCACUUUCGGGUGUCAGCGGCGGACGGGUGAGUAACGCGUGGGAACGUGCCCUCUGGUUCGGAAUAACUCAGGGAAACUUGAGCUAAUACCGGAUACGCCCUUUUGGGGAAAGGCUUGCUGCCGGAGGAUCGGCCCGCGUCUGAUUGGCUAGUUGGUGAGGUAACGGCUCACCAAGGCGACGAUCAGUAGCUGGUCUGAGAGGAUGAUCAGCCACACUGGGACUGAGACACGGCCCAGACUCCUACGGGAAGCAGCAGUGGGGAAUAUUGGACAAUGGGCGCAAGCCUGAUCCAGCCAUGCCGCGUGAGUGAUGAAGGCCUUAGGGUUGUAAAGCUCUUUUAUCCGGGACGAUAAUGACGGUACCGGAGGAAUAAGCCCCGGCUAACUUCGUG
This 435-nucleotide ribosomal RNA is filed under the name uncultured bacterium. RNAcentral describes it as "partial 16S ribosomal RNA". It matches the Rfam family "Bacterial small subunit ribosomal RNA", at positions 29 to 507 of the family's 1533-position model. The record is from RNAcentral.